This 249-nucleotide long non-coding RNA is filed under the name Lathyrus oleraceus (garden pea). RNAcentral describes it as "Pisum sativum (pea) long non-coding RNA (PSAT_LNC017740)". The record is from RNAcentral. Lineage: Eukaryota; Viridiplantae; Streptophyta; Magnoliopsida; Fabales; Fabaceae.
UGGGGUUCAAAUGGAUAGAAGGAAGUGCUGGGCAUUUUCUGGAGAGCGGGGUUCAAAUGGAGGAAAGGAGGCACGGGGUAUUUUCUGGAGAAUGAGGUUCACAAUGGCGAUCGUGAGUUAUUGUCAGGCGACUGGGGUUCAAAUGGAGAUCGAGGUUCAUUGUUUGGAAAACAGGAGUGUUAUGAAGUUGUCAGGGUUCAAAUGCGGUGAUCAGGGAUCAUACGCGCGAAAAUAAUUGUUCGGGGUCCA